This 468-nucleotide ribosomal RNA is filed under the name uncultured bacterium. RNAcentral's name for it is "partial 16S ribosomal RNA". It matches the Rfam family "Bacterial small subunit ribosomal RNA", at positions 28 to 507 of the family's 1533-position model. The record is from RNAcentral.
GACGAACGCUGGCGGCGUGCUUAACACAUGCCAGUCGAACGGAAAGGCCCUGCUUUUGUGGGGUGCUCGAGUGGCGAACGGGUGAGUAACACGUGAGUAACCUGCCCUUGACUUUGGGAUAACUUCAGGAAACUGGGGCUAAUACCGGAUAGGAGCUCCUGCUGCAUGGUGGGGGUUGGAAAGUUUCGGCGGUUGGGGAUGGACUCGCGGCUUAUCAGCUUGUUGGUGGGGUAGUGGCUUACCAAGGCUUUGACGGGUAGCCGGCCUGAGAGGGUGACCGGCCACAUUGGGACUGAGAGACGGCCCAGACUCCUACGGGAGGCAGCAGUGGGGAAUCUUGCACAAUGGGCGGAAGCCUGAUGCAGCAACGCCGCGUGCGGGAUGACGGCCUUCGGGUUGUAAACCGCUUUCGCCUGUGACGAAGCGUGAGUGACGGUAAUGGGUAAAGAAGCACCGGCUAACUACGUG